GUCCUGGUCAGGUUUUGGUUUCAAGACUUUUCUGGCCUCAUAAGCAAACAGUUUUUUUUUUCUGUUUUCCCAUUCUGUGAGUCAGUUUAUGAAAGAUCAGAAUUAUGUGCCUCAUAAAUAUGUUAGAACUCUGGGAUAUAGCUUUCUUUGCUUCUCAGCUACUGAUGGAGAUUCUGUUAUGGUUGUAAGAAGACGCAGGUUUGAGUGUUCUUCCUGUUGGUCUGUCUGGAGCUGGAUGUGCCCGUCUGUCCCCCGAGGUGCUGGCCUGCGGUCUGUCCUCCUGCUCCCCGCUUCUCGUGUCACCUGACAUGCCCCUGGCCAUCAGGGUUUCCCAGGAGCAGCCUGGUGCAGCCUGGGUCUGAUUUCUGCCCAGGUCCGCUGCUUCCCUAUAACGUCAGCACCCAUGUGUGAGGCUCUGGUUGCCCCACUGGGUGCCGAGUGUUAUCGG
RNAcentral lists this long non-coding RNA (448 nucleotides) under Marmota monax (woodchuck). Lineage: Eukaryota; Metazoa; Chordata; Mammalia; Rodentia; Sciuridae. The record is from RNAcentral.